GCAAGUCGAACGGGAUUUGGGAGCUUGCUUCCAAUGAGAGUGGCGCACGGGUGCGUAACACGUAUGUAACCUACCUUGAUCUGGGGGAUAGCCUCUCGAAAGAGAGAUUAACACCGCAUAACAUUAUUGUAUAGCAUUAUAUAAUAAUCAAAUAUUUAUAGGAUCAAGAUGGGCAUGCGGAACAUUAGCUAGUUGGUAAGGUAACGGCUUACCAAGGCUACGAUGUUUAGGGGAUCUGAGAGGAUGACCCCCCACACUGGUACUGAGACACGGACCAGACUCCUACGGGAGGCAGCAGUAAGGAAUAUUGGUCAAUGGGCGCAAGCCUGAACCAGCCAUGCCGCGUGCAGGAAGACGGCCCUACGGGUUGUAAACUGCUUUUGUACCGGAAUAAACCUUUGUAUGUAUACGAAGCUGAAUGUACGGUAAGAAUAAGGAUCGGCUAACUCCGUGCCAGCAGCCGCGGUAAUACGGAGGAUCCAAGCGUUAUCCGGAUUUAUUGGGUUUAAAGGGUGCGUAGGCGGCCUAUUAAGUCAGGGGUGAAAGACGGUAGCUUAACUAUCGCAGUGCCUUUGAUACUGAUGGGCUUGGAUACACUUGAGGUAGGCGGAAUGUGACAAGUAGCGGUGAAAUGCAUAGAUAUGUCACAGAACACCAAUUGCGAAGGCAGCUUACUAAAGUGUCAUUGACGCUGAGGCACGAAAGCGUGGGGAUCAAACAGGAUUAGAUACCCUGGUAGUCCACGCCCUAAACGAUGAAUACUCGAUGUUGGCGAUAUACGGUCAGCGUCUAAGCGAAAGCGUUAAGUAUUCCACCUGGGGAGUACGCCCGC
Molecule: ribosomal RNA, 832 nt
Filed under: uncultured Sphingobacteriia bacterium
Lineage: Bacteria; Pseudomonadati; Bacteroidota; Sphingobacteriia
Description: bacterial SSU rRNA
Rfam family: Bacterial small subunit ribosomal RNA
Source: RNAcentral